RNAcentral lists this long non-coding RNA (465 nucleotides) under Marmota monax (woodchuck). Lineage: Eukaryota; Metazoa; Chordata; Mammalia; Rodentia; Sciuridae. The record is from RNAcentral.
GAAUCUUUCUCUUUGGAACUAGAAAUAAAUUUUUAGCUAGAUUUCUGUUUUAUUCCUUCUUUUGUUGUGAUUUGUGCUUUCCUAAAGUAAAAGAUCAAAACAAGUACUUGCUAUAUACAAUCUUCAAUUUAAACUUUUGAGUGGCAGUCAGGAAUAGUUUUCAAAAGUUUCUGGUACAUUUCUGACUUUAGAAACCUGGGAUAGGAAUCCAUUGCCAUAUGCAUAUAUACUAUUUUCUGAGCCUCUUCAAAACAUGUUUGAGUGGGUUCCUGAAUGUUCCUGAUGAUAGUUUCUCUUGUUGAAUUGUCAAUGUUAAUCUGAAAAGGGAAAUUACAUGUAGAGCGUUAAGUAAGCACAAUUAAACAUGGACACGUAAAACGGGAAGGUUUCAUUUAUUCCCCCCUCCUUUUUAGUCCAGUAGGUAAUUUUGCUCACAGUGUUCAUAGAUAUCUAAAAAGAUUUAGC